ACGCUCGACACCUACGGGGGGCAGCAGUGGGGGAUAUUGCACAAUGGGGGAAACCCUGAUGCAGCAACGCCGCGUGAGGGAAGACGGUUUUCGGAUUGUAAACCUCUGUCAUCGGUGACGAUAAUGACGGUAGCCGAUGAGGAAGCUCCGGCUAACUACGUGCCAGUAGCCGCGGUAAUCUGAGCGGGCUGGCAAGGC
This 198-nucleotide ribosomal RNA is filed under the name uncultured bacterium. Its description in RNAcentral is "partial 16S ribosomal RNA". It matches the Rfam family "Bacterial small subunit ribosomal RNA", at positions 328 to 539 of the family's 1533-position model. The record is from RNAcentral.